Non-coding RNA from Acanthosepion pharaonis, 108 nucleotides. Lineage: Eukaryota; Metazoa; Mollusca; Cephalopoda; Sepiida; Sepiidae. The record is from the annotation of a GenBank genome assembly.
GACCAUAUAACAUUGAAACUCUGGUUCCUGUACGAUCACCGAAGUUAAUCAAUGUCGAGUCUGAUUAGUACUUAGAUGGGUGAACGCUCAGGAUAAUAAGUACUGUAA